RNAcentral lists this ribosomal RNA (563 nucleotides) under Clostridiales bacterium oral taxon 093. RNAcentral's name for it is "bacterial SSU rRNA". It matches the Rfam family "Bacterial small subunit ribosomal RNA", at positions 382 to 957 of the family's 1533-position model. Lineage: Bacteria; Bacillati; Bacillota; Clostridia; Eubacteriales. The record is from RNAcentral.
UCUGACCCAGCAAUGCCGCGUGAGCGAUGAAGGUGCAUCGAUUGUAAGCUCUUUUCCUGGGAACGAAACAAAAGACGGUACCCAGGGAAUAAGCCCCGGCUAACUACGUGCCAGCAGCCGCGGUAAUACGUAGGGGGCGAGCGUUGUCCGGAAUGACUGGGCGUAAAGGGUGCGUAGGUGGUUUAAUAAGUUAGAAGUGUAAUACCCAGGGCUUAACUCGGGUGCUGCUUCUAAAACUGUUAGGCUUGAGUGUAGUAGAGGAAAGCGGAAUUCAAUGUGUAGCGGUGGAAUGCGUAGAUAUAUUGAAGAACAUCAGUGGCGAAGGCGGCUUUCUGGACUAUAACUGACACUGAGGCACGAAAGCGUGGGGAGCAAACAGGAUUAGAUACCCUGGUAGUCCACGCCGUAAACGAUGGAUACUAGAUGCAGGAGGUAUUCACUCCUUCUGUGUCGCAGCUAACGCAAUAAGUAUCCCGCCUGGGGAGUACGAUCGCAAGAUUAAAACUCAAAGGAAUUGACGGGGAACCGCACAAGCAGCGGAACAUGUGGGUUUAAUUCGAAGC